Molecule: ribosomal RNA, 251 nt
Filed under: uncultured prokaryote
Description: partial 16S rRNA
Rfam family: Bacterial small subunit ribosomal RNA
Source: RNAcentral
ACGUAUGGGGCAAGCGUUGUUCGGAAUUAUUGGGCGUAAAGGGCGUCUAGGCGGGGGAUUAAGUUAGAUGUGAAAGCUAUGGGCUCAACCCAUAAACUGCAUCUAAGACUGGUUCUCUUGAGUCCGGGAGAGGAGAGCGGAAUUCCAGGUGUGGCGGUGAGAUGCGUAGAUAUCUGGAAGAACACCAGUGGCGAAGGCGGCUCACUGGCCUAGGACUGACGCUGGAGCGGGGGAGUGUGGGGAGGGAAGAG